This 1369-nucleotide ribosomal RNA is filed under the name Clostridioides difficile. Its description in RNAcentral is "bacterial LSU rRNA". It matches the Rfam family "Bacterial large subunit ribosomal RNA", at positions 1354 to 2925 of the family's 2925-position model. The record is from RNAcentral. Lineage: Bacteria; Bacillati; Bacillota; Clostridia; Peptostreptococcales; Peptostreptococcaceae.
CCAGGGGAAGGUUCGUCCGCCCUGGGUUAGUCGGGACCUAAGCUGAGGCCGAAAGGCGUAGGUGAUGGACAACAGGUUGAUAUUCCUGUACUACCGAUAACCGUUUGAGAGAAGGGAUGACACAGUAGGAUAAGCUAAGCACACUGUUGGUUAUGUGUGCCCAAGCAUUGAGGCAGUCAAAGUAGGCAAAUCCGCUUUGAUAAUGCUGGGAUGUGAUGGGGAGCGAAAUUUAGUAGCGAAGUAGCUGAUUUCACACUGUCAAGAAAAGUCUCUAUCGAGGUUAAAGGUACCCGUACCGCAAACCGACACAGGUGGGUGAGGAGAGUAUCCUAAGGCCAGCGAGAGAACUGUUGUUAAGGAACUCGGCAAAAUGACCCCGUAACUUAGGGAUAAGGGGUGCCACCAUCAGGUGGCCGCAGAGAAUAGGCCCAAGCGACUGUUUACCAAAAACAUAGGUUUCUGCUAAGUCGCAAGACGAUGUAUAGGAGCUGACGCCUGCCCGGUGCUGGAAGGUUAAGGGGAUCUGUUAGAGCAAUCGAAGCAGUGAACUUAAGCCCCAGUAAACGGCGGCCGUAACUAUAACGGUCCUAAGGUAGCGAAAUUCCUUGUCGGGUAAGUUCCGACCCGCACGAAAGGCGUAACGAUUUGGGCACUGUCUCAACAACAGACUCGGUGAAAUUGUAAUUCCGGUGAAGAUGCCGGAUACCUGCGACAGGACGGAAAGACCCCAUGGAGCUUUACUGUAGCUUGACAUUGGGUCUUGGUACUACAUGUACAGGAUAGGUGGGAGGCUUUGAAACCAGGACGCCAGUUUUGGCGGAGCCAUCCUUGGGAUACCACCCUUGUAGUACUGGGACUCUAACCAUAGGCCAUGAAUCUGGUCUUGGGACACUGUCAGGUGGGCAGUUUGACUGGGGCGGUCGCCUCCCAAAAGGUAACGGAGGCGCUCAAAGGUUCUCUCAGUACGGUCGGAAAUCGUACGUAGAGUGUAAAGGCAAAAGAGAGCUUGAUUGCAAGACAUACAGGUCGAGCAAGGAUGAAAAUCGGACUUAGUGAUCCGGUGGUUCUGCGUGGAAGGGCCAUCGCUCAACGGAUAAAAGCUACCCUGGGGAUAACAGGCUUAUCUCCCCCAAGAGGACCGGGAUGGACGUACCUCUGGUGUACCAGUUGUCCUGCCAAGGGCAUGGCUGGGUAGCUAUGUACGGAAUGGAUAAGCGCUGAAAGCAUCUAAGCGCGAAGCCAACUUCAAGAUAAGAUUUCCCACCGCAAGGGUAAGACCCCAGAAAGACUAUCUGGUUGAUAGGUCGAAGGUGUAAGUGCAGCAAUGUAUUUAGCUUAUCGAUACUAAUAGGUCGAGGACUUGACCAAU